RNAcentral lists this ribosomal RNA (443 nucleotides) under uncultured Parabacteroides sp. Its description in RNAcentral is "bacterial SSU rRNA". It matches the Rfam family "Bacterial small subunit ribosomal RNA", at positions 355 to 794 of the family's 1533-position model. Lineage: Bacteria; Pseudomonadati; Bacteroidota; Bacteroidia; Bacteroidales; Tannerellaceae. The record is from RNAcentral.
UGAGGAAUAUUGGUCAAUGGGCGAGAGCCUGAACCAGCCAAGUCGCGUGAGGGAAGACGGUCCUACGGAUUGUAAACCUCUUUUGUCGGGGAGUAAUAGGCGGGACGUGUCCUGCUGUGAGAGUACCCGAAGAAAAAGCAUCGGCUAACUCCGUGCCAGCAGCCGCGGUAAUACGGAGGAUGCGAGCGUUAUCCGGAUUUAUUGGGUUUAAAGGGUGCGUAGGUGGUCUUUUAAGUCAGCGGUGAAAGUUUGUGGCUCAACCAUAAAAAUUGCCAUUGAAACUGGGAGACUUGAGUAUGUUUGAGGUAGGCGGAAUGCGUGGUGUAGCGGUGAAAUGCAUAGAUAUCACGCAGAACUCCGAUUGCGAAGGCAGCUUGCCAAGCCAUAACUGACACUGAAGCACGAAAGCGUGGGUAUCAAACAGGAUUAGAUACCCUGGUAGU